UACCGAGUUUACNACUCCCAAACCCAAUGUGAACGUUACCAAACUGUUGCCUCGGCGGGAUCUCUGCCCCGGGUGCGUCGCAGCCCCGGACCAAGGCGCCCGCCGGAGGACCAACCAAAACUCUUAUUGUAUACCCCCUCGCGGGUUUUUUUAUAAUCUGAGCCUUCUCGGCGCCUCUCGUAGGCGUUUCGAAAAUGAAUCAAAACUUUCAACAACGGAUCUCUUGGUUCUGGCAUCGAUGAAGAACGCAGCGAAAUGCGAUAAGUAAUGUGAAUUGCAGAAUUCAGUGAAUCAUCGAAUCUUUGAACGCACAUUGCGCCCGCCAGUAUUCUGGCGGGCAUGCCUGUCCGAGCGUCAUUUCAACCCUCGAACCCCUCCGGGGGGUCGGCGUUGGGGAUCGGCCCUCCCUUAGCGGGUGGCCGUCUCCGAAAUACAGUGGCGGUCUCGCCGCAGCCUCUCCUGCGCAGUAGUUUGCACACUCGCAUCGGGAGCGCGGCGCGUCCACAGCCGUUAAACACACCCAACUUCUGAAAUGUUGACCUCGGAUCAGGUAGGAAUACCCGCUGAACUUAAGCAUAUCAAUAAGCGGAGGAAAAGAAACCAACAGGGAUUGCCCNCAGUAACGGCGAGUGAAGCGGCAACAGCUCAAAUUUGAAAUCUGGNCCCUAGGGCCCGAGUUGUAAUUUGUAGAGGAUGCUUUUGGUGAGGUGCCGCCCGAGUUCCCUGGAAACGGGACGNCACAGANGGUGAGAGCCCCGUCUGGCUGG
Molecule: ribosomal RNA, 767 nt
Filed under: fungal endophyte
Lineage: Eukaryota; Fungi
Description: eukaryotic LSU rRNA
Rfam family: 5.8S ribosomal RNA (bases 204-357)
Source: RNAcentral